GGACCCGAAGUAAUGAACUAGGACCGACCCGGACCCAUCUGACCAUUUAAAAUAUAAACCCGGAACCGUACGGGUCCCGCGUCCUCAGUGAAGAAAGACCUCUAAUGGUAAAACUCUGCUCAAGUUCAGAAACAUGAAAGGAUACAAUGUGACACUGAGGUUGCUUCGCGUCGCGCCCAAUUCAUUGAGAAACAGAGAGCACGUGAACGGACACUCAACCGGAGAGACACAACGUGCUUGCACGCAAAAUGAAGCCAACUUAGAUGCUAUAAACACAUAUGCACAUAAGCAUAUGCGACCAUUUUGGUCGCAGUGUGUUCCCUGGCUGCUCCGUAUGUGCUGCUGCAGUUGAUCCAGUUUGCCGCGCUGGAUGAUGAGUUUAUGACGCGUGCAUCAUCUUCACGGUCACCCGACCCCCACCUCUCUCUCGCGCUCUCUCUUUCGCGCUCUCUCUCUCUCUCUCUCUCUCUCUCUCCAAAACACGGGUCAUCCAGUCGAGUUCAGAAAAUACGGAAAUUCGUAAAGUGAUUUUUUUUUUUUACCUGGGCGGGUUGCAAUUUACCUGGGCGCAGCGCCCAAGUAGAGCCUAUGUAUGGGAAACACUGAAUACUGUACAAUUACUGACAUAGGCAUGUGCUAUUCAGGUGUCAAAGCUGUGCGAAACUGGAGGGAGAAACUUGAGAGACCGUGCCGGAAGAAUGCUGGACAGUGAACUCUAAAAUACAAAAGACAAAGUUCAACAUGAAUGGUGGUGGUCCACUGCAGAAGCAAGCAUUUGAAAAAACAUCAGUUCUCAGUUAUUAAAGAUGCUGUGUUGAACAACUUCCCAGCAGCAACAGAACUAGAAGUGAAGGAUGCAAUGGGGGCAUUUCAAACAGGCACCAGGGAGCACGGGG
This is a non-coding RNA of Paramisgurnus dabryanus, 896 nucleotides long. Lineage: Eukaryota; Metazoa; Chordata; Actinopteri; Cypriniformes; Cobitidae. The record is from RefSeq and is a predicted model, not a curated record.